GGCGGGGGCGGGGAGAGUCGGAGUGGCAGGAAGGACGACCCAAGAGAACCGCCGACGGACCGAAGGGGGUAGGGUCCGUGCCAGGCGACGUCUGCGCGAGUGUGGAUUUGGGGGCGUCUUCACCUGGAGCAGCUGCAGGAUUCCGCAGAGGAGCGCCUCUGUACAGUACAGCUCAGAGGGCGCAUUUCUGCGGGGGGCCCUAGGCCUUCAGCCCUGCCUCUUUCCCUUGCCAAUCACUUUCCCCAACACCAGGUUCACCCCCGACCCGCACCCUCACGCGCCCCGGGAGGGAGCAGGUCGGAGGGAAAAGCUUGGGAACUGGCUCGAUGGGGUCUGAGUAGGGCCCCUCCGUCUAGGCGUCCGCUCGCCACUCUCCCGCUGAUGGUGCCGACAGGAGGGCCGUGCUCCUUGGCCCUUCCUCUCUCCGGCUUGUCGCCGCCCGCCGCCCCCUCUAGAGCGGAGCUCGACGCGGGUCCGGAAUGCCCCGCGCGCGCUCCCGCAGCCGCGCUUUGUCCCGUGGGUGACCGCCGGAUGCCUCCAAGGGCUGGCAGAGCUGUCCGCGUGCGACUUUCGCUCUGGUUGGAUUUCCCCUUCCUUCGCAGCCCUGCCGGCCUCAAAGCAUGGUUUGGGCAGCCCAGCCCAGAUUUCCUGGAUAGAGAGACUCAUGAGGAGGAGCGUCAUCUCUGGCCACGGGAAACUGAGGGCUAUCUGAAACCAUCAGGCAUAAAACUCUUCCCCAGUUGUCUGGGCUGUACAGAAAAAUGCUCUAGUUUUUGUUUUCCUCCUGCAGCUCUGAUUUGGUGGAGUGGCAGUGGCUGCUCUUAGCAUGAAUGUGGGAGGAGAUUGUGCAGGGCCAGAGCCCUAUAUUUGGCUUCUGGGGUGGGAAAAGAGAUGAAAAUGGAGAUAUUAAUCAUAUAACUCCAUGUAACCAAUCAAAAAAUUUAUCAUAAAGUUUAUCUUAAAGUUCAUCUCCUUGAGCCAAGAAAUUAGAGUUGGGGCGGGCAGUUGCCCUUCUUAACCUCAAUGUGAGGCUCCCUGGCUGGGGCAUGUCUCCUCUGAUGCCAGUUUUCCCAGCCCAGUCCCCUUCUUCCUUGAAAUAGCAUUUCCCCACCAACCCACGACACACACAUAGACUUCUUUCUUGCUCCCAUGCACACACACACACACACACACACACACACACACCCCACAUGAACAGCAGAGUAUUCCUUCUUCCCCAGGGAAGAAGUGCUAAAGAAACU
This 1241-nucleotide long non-coding RNA is filed under the name Homo sapiens (human). RNAcentral describes it as "HSALNT0020671". Lineage: Eukaryota; Metazoa; Chordata; Mammalia; Primates; Hominidae. The record is from RNAcentral.